Etheostoma spectabile (orangethroat darter) is the source of this 186-nucleotide long non-coding RNA. RefSeq lists it as uncharacterized. Lineage: Eukaryota; Metazoa; Chordata; Actinopteri; Perciformes; Percidae. The record is from RefSeq and is a predicted model, not a curated record. The transcript has 3 exons.
GCAGUGAAUAAGGAGAUAUUGCUGCAAGUAAUUAUUGUACAUAAUUGUCCAAGAAUAUUGAGAUGUGAUGUGGAGAUAUGUGCUGUAAGACCAGUUUUGACACUAAGCGUGUAACACUCAGAGGGAGGAGUUAUAUAGUUUGAUGGCCACAAGCAGGAACAAUGUUGUGUGGCGCUCUGUGGUGCA